This 5821-nucleotide long non-coding RNA is filed under the name Nicotiana benthamiana. Its description in RNAcentral is "long non-coding RNA (NBEN_LNC039317)". The record is from RNAcentral. Lineage: Eukaryota; Viridiplantae; Streptophyta; Magnoliopsida; Solanales; Solanaceae.
GAACAUUGGGCAAACUGCAGAAACAGCAUUGGUGAAAGCGAAUCACAGUAUCAUUUUCUAAUUCUGCCGUCCUCUGUAACCAAGACUCAAACAACAAGACAACUAAUACUAAUAGUAAUUCUUUUUUGUCUCGAUUUUGUGCUGGCAACUCUGGAUUUUCCGACAUAACCAAGCUCUUCGAUUCUUCCUAUGUAUCUUUCUUAUCCGUCAAUAUCUCCCUUCCUUAAUCUUGGAAAAGAAGAAACAUUCUCAGAAACAGAAGCACAGCCCCAAAAACUUUAACUGUUUCACAGAUAUAUUGGUGGAGCUAUGGCCCGUUUAUCAUAUGUUGAAGGUUUGGAUUUCUGGCUUCUCUUUAUUGAAUGGAAAGUUGUCAUGCUCACUUCUUUUCUGCAUUCGUUUUCAAUGGGUGCUAGAUUUAGUGAUAUCUGUUUCCAGGGCUGUCUAUCGGAAAUAGCCUCUCUGACCCAUUGGAUAAGGGUAAGGUCUACAUACAUACGGUACUUCCCGGACCCCACAUUGUUGUUGUUAUUUUUUAUGACAACUUUGGUGUUCCGGACCAGCUUAGGCGCAACUAAUCUACCCGCCGAGGCUUAGGCAGGCUUAUAGGAAAAAAUCACACAGUGUUUUUUGCCUAAGCUGGGAUCUGAACCCAAAACCUCAUAGUUCUCCUUCUACUUUGAUGGGAAGAAAAUGAAUGUUAUAUUACUGUUUAUUAAUAAGAAGCAUAUCAUAAAAAUAGAAUGCAUAUAUUUUUAACUAAGAACCUAAGAAUUACAGUGUAAGGUGCUAUAUAACGAAUUUGUGUGUUUUCCAAAUUUAUAUAUUGUUUUCUACUUAAAAGGAUUGUAGGAGUGCAGUUCAAUUUAAUAGACAGCAUUCUUACAAGUGUCAGGUCUUAGAAUCCUUAUGUUUAGCUUGGCAUAAUAUAUGCACUUGCAUUGUCUAGCUUUCUUAAGCUUUGACAUAUUAAUUCUAUGCCGCUUAACACUUCAUUGUCCUUUGCGGAUACAGUGAUAUCUCCAUUACCAUCAAGACGUGUGCUGCAGAACUCUGCAUCGAAGCAGCCUUACACGGGCUUGUUCUUUUUUCUUGGAAGCCUCGUUAUUCUUAUAGUCCUGGUUGUUCUCAUUCUCAUCCUAUGCAAGUUUUUCAAACCAGGAAAACUGCGAGCUUUGAUUGGUCGCACAGCUAAGCCUCAAGGUUUCCCCGAUGCUCCUUUAAUUUUAUUAUAGUUGUUCGGAAUGAAAUAGUACUAACGCCUUUUCUUCAAAUGUUACAGGGACGAGUGAUGCCCUUAGUGUACAUCUUCGUACAAUAAGCUACUAUAACUUCCAUACAUUGAAGAAGGCCACGAAGAAUUUUCAUUCAAAUAACCUACUUGGAAGUGGUGGAUUUGGUCCGGUUUUCUUGGUAUUAGUUUUCUGCAGCCAUUUUUUUUGUGUUAAAGCUGAUUACACUGUUUCUUACAUGGAUAAAGUUAUAAUUAUGCAUGAAAGAUCCUUUAGGGCCUUGGCGCUGUUAUGAGAUCUUGAGAUGUGAGACAUCAUCUGAGGUUAAUGUGUCUAAACACUUUAAAAAAUGAGUCUAAAAUCCUAAAAUAAUAAGCUUACUGGUGUUUAAUACUAUACCUAUAUACAUGAUAAUCUAAAUAAGGUAAUGUCUUCCGUAGGGGAAGCUAGGAGACGGACAAUUGAUUGCUGUCAAGAAGCUGUCUGUUGACAAAUCACAGCAAGGGGAACGGGAGUUCCUUGCAGAGGUGCGGCUAAUAACAAGCAUACAGCACAAGAACCUGGUCUGCCUUCUCGGCUGUUGCUCAGAUGGGGCUCAGAGGCUACUCGUCUAUGAAUACAUGAAGAAUAGGAGCUUGGACCAAAUAUUAUAUGGUAGUGUUUCUCUUUCCUAUUGAGCUCGUUAUAAGUUAUUGCUUUUUGAGUUGUGAACUCGGAUAGGUUUCAGAAACAAAGGAGCCAAAUGGAUUGAGAAGUAGUGAAUAUGAGAAAUCAGAAUAUCAUUGUUUUUGCACCUGUAUGCAUCUGUAUCACUCUUGAAUCACAUAUGUUUGUACCCUUGAAUACAACAACAACAACAACCCGGUAUAAUCCCACAUAGUGGGGUCUGGGGAAGGUAGAAUGUACGCAGACCUUAACUCUACCCUUGGGUAGAGAGGCUGUUUCCGAAUACACCAUCGGCAUCCUUCCCUCCAAGAACUUCCCACCUUGCUCUUGGGGAGACUCGAACUCACAACCUCUCGGUUGGAAGUGGAGGUUGCUUACCAUCAGAGCAACCCCUCUUAUCAUGUUUGUACCCUUGAAUGAUACCAUCAUAUUAUAUUCAUUGUCGUACUGCUUCUCAUGGAGUAUUAUUACAUCUUAUUUGGGUUCAAGAUUGAAUGAUAGAUUGUAGACCCUUGCUUUCAUUUAUGAAAAAGUGAGUUCUGUUUCCUUUGACCUGAAAAGUUUUCACUACUUGGUCACUCAAGGUUUCUAGAGCUGAAUCUUUUUCGCUAGUUGUCUCCUACACUUUUGAGAAUAUAUAACAGUAGCCUGCAAUUUCUUUUUCUUUAUUCCGUGAUUUUUAUUACUUCAACUUUGUGAUACAAAUUGUAUAUCUGUCGAUAGUUCUAUCCCCCCCCCCCCCCCCCNNNNNNNNNNNNNNNNNNNNNNNNNNNNNNNNNNNNNNNNNNNNNNNNNNNNNNNNNNNNNNNNNNNNNNNNNNNNNNNNNNNNNNNNNCGAUUCGGUUGUAAUGUUUGCUUUUCACAGGAAAGAGUAAUAUAUUCCUUAACUGGAAAACAAGGCACCAGAUAAUUUUAGGGAUCGCAAGAGGGUUACAGUAUCUUCAUGAGGAUUCACACAUUAGAAUUGUCCAUAGGGACAUCAAAGCCAGCAAUAUUCUGCUGGAUGACAAAUUCCAACCAAGAAUUGGAGAUUUUGGCCUAGCCAGAUUUUUCCCUGAAGAUCAAGCAUAUCUCAGCACUGCAUUUGCUGGAACCUUGUACGUGUUUUCUCGCUUCAGUAGUCUAUUAUGCUAACUCAAAAUAACACCUUUAACAUAGAAGCUAUUUGGAAAAAAGUAUUUUGUCUAGCAUCAGUAGUCUAUUAUGCUAACUCAAAAUAACACCUUUAACAUAGAAGCUAUUUGGAAAAAAGUAUUUUUUGGGUGUGUUUGAUACGACUAAGGAACUUUCAUGAUUAAUCAUUUCCCAUUGCGUGGUUUUAUAUUGUUAGAUAUGUUCUCCUCAGAAAUUUUUUAACAAGGACCUCAAUUCUUACAGCCUACCACUUUUUUCCUACCAAUAUGUAAGCAAUAUUAUCAGAAUUUGCUACUUACAACUAUUACCAACACUCUUCCAAUAUUCCCCAUCACCACCCUCUUGUCUUCUCUGCUACCAUAUGCGGCCUACAAUGCCCAUCUAAAUACCAAAACAACUACCCAGUAUAGUCCCACAAAGUGGGGUCUGGGGAGGGUAAUAUGUAGACGAGCAUUACCCCUACCGAAAGAGCAGAGAGGCUGUUUCCAAUGCCCAUCUAAAUACCAUGAAAAUGACUUAAUGAGUAGUUUCCCUGAGUAAAACAUAUUAUUUUCGCUGGAAUUUGUCAAUGACAGUAGCUCUAAGAAGGAAAUGAUGUUGUGCUUUGCAAUAGUAUUGGUCAGGUGUUUAAGUCACAGGCUGAAGGAUUUACAAUGUUCAUAAUAAUUGCAAUUUACGUUGUCAUUUCUCUCUCUAUAUAUAUAUAUAGACAAGAGGGGUUGCUCUGAUGUAAGCAACCCCCACUUCCAACCGAGAGGUUGUGAGUUCGAGUCUCCCCAAGAGCAAAGUGGGAAGUUCUUGGAGGGAAGGAUGUCGGGGGNNNNNNNNNNNNCCCACUUCCAACCGAGAGGUUGUGAGUUCGAGUCUCCCCAAGAGCAAGGUGGGAAGUUCUUGGAGGGAAGGAUGCCGCGGGUCUAUUUGGAAACAGCCUUUCUACCCAAGGGUAGGGGUAAGGUCUCCGUACAUACUACCCUCUUCGGAGAAUUGAAUUUAGCAGUUCCAGCUAUAAGUUUGAUAUUAUUAUACAUGAAGAAUGGAGAAUUUAUUUUGAGAAAUAUUCUGACAAGGUUAUGAAUGUUGCUAUAUACUAUAUUGUCCAGAAAAUGGUACUUUUCAUUUCAUGAACACUUUAAGCUUUAAUUUAUAGAUAUCCAUCAACAAUUUUUAUUUUAAGAAUUGGGUGAUUUUAUGUAAUUUUUGGUAUUUUGUCUGUGCAGAGGUUAUACAGCUCCUGAAUAUGCCAUUAGAGGAGAACUGACUGAAAAGGCUGAUAUAUACAGUUUUGGUGUUCUUGUGCUAGAAAUUAUCAGUUGCCGGAAGAAUACAGAUCUUUCUUUGCCUUCAGAAAUGCAAUAUCUCCCCGAAUAUGUAGGCUGUCUAAAUUUAACUUACGUUUCGUUAUCUCUUGACGAAACAAAAAAGGUUGUGUGUUUGACAUUGAUCGUUCAAGUGCAGGCAUGGAAGCUAUACGAAAGGUCAAGAUUGAUUGAUCUAGUUGAUCCCAAGAUGCGGGAAGAUGGAAUUGUGGAAAAGGAUGUCAUGCAAACAAUAUAUGUGGCUUUCUUAUGUCUUCAGCCAGAUGCAAAUUUAAGACCACCAAUGUCUGAGAUUGUUGCAAUGUUGAUACGCGAUGUUGCAGUAGUUGAAACACCAAUUAGGCCAGCUUUCUUAGAUCGAAAGAGAAGGAACGACAAGAAGCUUUCUUGGGAUAUUAUAACAGAUGGUUUCUCUUCUCCUCUGCAGAGUGAUUCACCUUCAAAGUAAGGGUGCUGUACGUCUUCCACUGGAAGCUAAAUCAUUGAAUAUGGUUGAUCCUGAUUCUUUUUAUCUUUUGUGUGUUGUCAAUAGUAUUUGUACAUAUAUAUGUAGAAAAGAAUACAGCCAAGGUUGCUUUUUCUAAUUUCUGCAGGGAUGAGGAAUUAUAGCUCGAGUGUAUUAGUUAACAUGAUUGCAAAGUGUUUUUGGUGAUUGAAACUGCAUCGUGAAUGUUAUUUCUUGAUGAAGAAGGUUCACUUUGUUUCAGAAGAAUAAGAACAAGGAAAGGAAUAACGUCUAGUUAAAAUAAGGAGAGAAAGGGAAAAGGAAUAUCAUUUUUCUAUUUUUGGUUCAAUCAAAAUAGUAAAAGGAAAGGAAUAAGAUGUCAUUUUACAGAAAUGAUAUUGUUUGGCGGCCUAUUGCCGGGCGUAGUUAUAAUUUAGCUAAUUACAUUUUGUAGCUAUUAAUUGUUUGCAAUGGGAUGUAUGUCGUGGUAUUCAAUUCAGUUGCAUAUAUUGUAUUAAAUUUAGAUAUAUUCGUUCUUAUAUAUUUUACAUUGUAUUCAUGUUUAUUGUGUUGAAUUCAGUUGUAUUUAAACAACAAAAAAUCAAGAAAUAUGGUGUAUGUCGCUCUAUUCAAUUCGGUUGUAUAUAGUGGAGAACAAAGUUCACCAGAGAUGGCGCCUUUUGGCCAAGCCAAAUACUAUAUAUAUUGUAUUAAAAUUAAAAAUGGAGACGAACAAAAAUCCGGCCAGAUUGAGAAUACAAUAUCACAUUGUAUCUACCAAAAUCUGGUCAGACGAAUACACUCAGAUGUGAGAUAGAAAGAAGGAGAAGAACCCAUGAUUUCCGACAUUACCUUUAGCUCCAGAUCUAGUGACGCCCCCGAUCUUCCCCUCCACUGUAUUUGCCAUCGAUAAUGAACUCAUUGCGACUUUGUGAUUUUCAUGUCUGAAUUUGAGGGUGGAGAUGAAAGAAGGGAGCGAGAGACGGUUGGAUCUGACGGCGGAGAUGAUAGAGAAGGGGGGGGGNNNN